This is a long non-coding RNA of Homo sapiens (human), 1032 nucleotides long. RefSeq lists it as uncharacterized. The transcript is spliced from 5 exons. NCBI's taxonomy places the organism in Eukaryota, Metazoa, Chordata, Mammalia, Primates, Hominidae. The record is from RefSeq and is marked validated.
AAUCUGCCACCGCUGCCACCGAGCCGAGGGGCGCCAGCAAGGCAUCCCCUGGGUCAAGGGGCCUCCCGUGGGCUUUCCAAACAGCCUGUGCUCAUUUCCGCGGGAGCCCUCGGGGCGCUGUGCUGUGGCUGCAUUGUCACUGUUUGUUUAUUUCUACAUCUGCUCUGUUAGAAGAUAGGCUCGCUUAGGACAGAGCCUUCUAAUCCACCCCCUGAUGAAUUCGGGCCCUCGCCUUUGGCACAAUGCCUGGCGUCAUCACAACGCGGGUGAUCAGUAAACGGCAGCGAAGGAAGCGGGGUCAGGACUGGAGAGGAGAGGGGGAGGAAGACAGACGACCGGAGAGGAACAAAAAUGGAAGAACAAGUAAGAAUGGACAGAGGAAUACCAUGUGCUGACUGACGAACGCCUGGGUUUCUGAACCAAUUGCCAUCAAGGGGAUUGGGAUUACCAUAAUUUUUGCUGAGACUAAGCCCCACCCCAGUAACCAAAGGCUUAUGGGUGGAAUGCAAGCUAUUGGAAGUAUUUGAAGAUGUGACCAAGGAAGCUAUGAGAAUUGGAAAUGAGGCAGUUGUUUAGAAACGGGCUGAUGUGCUUGUGGCAGUGUUUCAAGAACCCAGCUCCAUUCAUCCUAUGAUGCCACCAUCCUCAGCAUUUGACUUCCAUGGCUCCUAUAUGCUGCCAAGAGAAUUUUUUUCUUUAAGAACAAAUAAACUAAAGAAAUUAACAUCCAGCUUGCUGAGUCACUUGCUUUCCACUUGAAUUUUAACUACAAGGAUCUGAAGACAGCCUGUGUUAGGCAGAGAAAGAAAGAGACAGAGAAAGAGUCAGGGAGAAGAGAGGAAGAGAGAUGUAGCUGGAGAGUCAGGGAGAAAUUCAAAGAGAUGGAGAGAGAGACUGGUUCUGGAAAGAAAAGAUAAGUUAAAUAGAAAAAGGAAAGUAAUCUUUGAAAGGUUUGUUUAAGACAUGUAUUUUCUUACUCUGUAGUGGGAGCGCUGAAUAAAAAUAUUUAAAUAAAAGCUGUAAUGUGAUUAA